GGCACUAUGGCGGAGUGGUUAACGCGAUGCCCUGCUAUUUUAUCCAAAAUUUGCAGAGAAAGAAAACAUCUUUCUAGUUUAGGCAUUUCCCUCGGGAGCGCAGGUUCGAAUCCUGCUGGUGUCG
Molecule: transfer RNA, 124 nt
Rfam family: tRNA
About the family: Transfer RNA (tRNA) molecules are approximately 80 nucleotides in length.